GAUGAACGCUGACAGAAUGCUUAACACAUGCAAGUCUUUGGCAAAGCUGUGCUUGCACAGUCUAGCCAAGGCGGACGGGGUGAGGAAUAGCGUUAAGGAACUUGCCCUGCAGUCAGGGAUAACAGACGGAAACGACUGAUAAAACCUGAUAAAGUCAGGCGGACUCAUGUCCAGCCUGAUGAAAAGAGAUGCUGCAGGAGAGCCUUGCGUCCUAUUAGCUUGUUGGUGGGGUAACGGCCCACCAAGGCGAUGAUAGGUAGCCGGCCUGAGAGGGUGGACGGCCACAAGGGGACUGAGAUACGGCCCUUACUCCUACGGGAGGCAGCAGUGGGGAAUAUUGGACAAUGGGGGCAACCCUGAUCCAGCAAUUCUGUGUGCACGAUGAAGGUUUUCGGAUUGUAAAGUGCUUUCAGCAGGGAAGAAAAA
This 426-nucleotide ribosomal RNA is filed under the name Leptotrichia sp. oral taxon 462. RNAcentral's name for it is "bacterial SSU rRNA". It matches the Rfam family "Bacterial small subunit ribosomal RNA", at positions 28 to 452 of the family's 1533-position model. Lineage: Bacteria; Fusobacteriati; Fusobacteriota; Fusobacteriia; Fusobacteriales; Leptotrichiaceae. The record is from RNAcentral.